GACGGGGCCCGCACAAGCGGUGGAGCAUGUGGUUAAUUCGAAGCAACGCGAAGAACCUUACCAGGUCUUGACAUCCCCUGACAACCCAAGAGAUUGGGCGUUCCCCUCGGGGGACAGGGUGACAGGUGGUGCAUGGUUGUCGUCAGCUCGUGUCGUGAGAUGUUGGGUUAAGUCCCGCAACGAGCGCAACCCUCGCCUCUAGUUGCCAGCAUUCGGUUGGGCACUCUAGAGGGACUGCCGGCGACAAGUCGGAGGAAGGUGGGAUGACGUCAAAUCAUCAUGCCCCUUAUGACCUGGGCUACACACGUGCUACAAUGGGCGGUACAAAGGGCUGCGAACCCGCGAGGGGGAGCGAAUCCCAAAAAGCCGCUCUCAGUUCGGAUUGCAGGCUGCAACUCGCCUGCAUGAAGCCGGAAUCGCUAGUAAUCGCGGAUCAGCAUGCCGCGGUGAAUACGUUCCCGGGCCUU
Molecule: ribosomal RNA, 467 nt
Filed under: uncultured Geobacillus sp.
Lineage: Bacteria; Bacillati; Bacillota; Bacilli; Caryophanales; Anoxybacillaceae
Description: bacterial SSU rRNA
Rfam family: Bacterial small subunit ribosomal RNA
Source: RNAcentral